This 447-nucleotide ribosomal RNA is filed under the name uncultured bacterium. Its description in RNAcentral is "bacterial SSU rRNA". It matches the Rfam family "Bacterial small subunit ribosomal RNA", at positions 355 to 825 of the family's 1533-position model. The record is from RNAcentral.
UGGGGAAUAUUGGACAAUGGGCGCAAGCCUGAUCCAGCCAUGCCGCGUGAGUGACGAAGGCCUUAGGGUUGUAAAGCUCUUUUGGCGGGGACGAUAAUGACGGUACCCGCAGAAUAAGCUCCGGCUAACUUCGUGCCAGCAGCCGCGGUAAUACGAAGGGAGCUAGCGUUGUUCGGAAUCACUGGGCGUAAAGCGCACGUAGGCGGAUUAUUAAGUCAGGGGUGAAAUCCCGGGGCUCAACCUCGGAACUGCCUCUGAUACUGAUAGUCUCGAGUCCGGAAGAGGUGGGUGGAAUUCCUAGUGUAGAGGUGAAAUUCGUAGAUAUUAGGAAGAACACCGGUGGCGAAGGCGGCCCACUGGUCCGGUACUGACGCUGAGGUGCGAAAGCGUGGGGAGCAAACAGGAUUAGAUACCCCCGUAGUCCCUGAGCGGGCUGGCAAGGCGCAU